UUUCACCAAGUGAUUUUAUUUUAGAAAAUUUAUACAAAGGGAGUAAUUGAAUGAGUGUGCUGAGUAAAUGUUACUGUUUGAAAACACCAAAAACUUAGAUGUCCUUUGCAGAGAACUGUUACAUGUAUCACCAUGUGAUGCUAUGGGAAUGUCAAUAAGAAGAAUGAGGUGACUGUAUUGAGAGCAGAGGUCCAAGAUACAAAAUGGGAAACAGAAGACAGACUUCACAAGUUGCAAAAUAUAACUUUUAUAUCAAAAAGUUUCUAUAUACAUACUUCAAAGUCUGGGUGUUAAAAAUGAAAGUAUACAUUAAUCCAAGAUCAUCGCCAUUUAUCAUGCUCACAGAGACUUAAUUCUCCCAAGGAUACUCAGCUAGGAAGUGCCUGUGCAAUUAUUUAGAAAGCCAAAUGAGAUGGC
RNAcentral lists this long non-coding RNA (417 nucleotides) under Bos taurus (domestic cattle). RNAcentral describes it as "long non-coding RNA NONBTAT015469". Lineage: Eukaryota; Metazoa; Chordata; Mammalia; Artiodactyla; Bovidae. The record is from RNAcentral.